Molecule: ribosomal RNA, 115 nt
Filed under: Heteroscarus acroptilus (rainbow cale)
Lineage: Eukaryota; Metazoa; Chordata; Actinopteri; Labriformes; Odacidae
Also listed under: 1 other name
Description: partial 16S ribosomal RNA
Source: RNAcentral
CGAGAAGACCCUGUGGAGCUUUAGACGCACAGAUGGGCCACGUUAAUAAGCCUCAGUAUAAAGAGGAGAAACAAAUCGGACACUAUCUAAAUGUCUUUGGUUGGGGCGACCGAGG